This is a long non-coding RNA of Perca flavescens (yellow perch), 536 nucleotides long. RefSeq lists it as uncharacterized. Lineage: Eukaryota; Metazoa; Chordata; Actinopteri; Perciformes; Percidae. The transcript has 3 exons. The record is from RefSeq and is a predicted model, not a curated record.
AUUUUAACAUCGGCAGACGAUGAUGAAAAUACUGAAACAGAUGAUACAGAUGAUGUUUAUUCCUUCUUCGGCAGUGGUGAAUUAAACGUUUCCAUUUUCAUACCUGAAAACCUUGGGUUGCAGCGGCCAUGGGUAGAUGAUGAAGACCUGCCCUCUCCUUCCUCCUCAAGUGCUGCAGUAAGUUUAACAAUGGUGGACGAUGAUGAAAAUAAUGAAACAGAUGAAGAUUAUUUCUACUCCGGCAGUGAAGACAUUUCAUUGGUGGGAGCUGAAACGUCCUCCAGCUCAUUUACAGCUAUCUUCAACCCACUCUGUCUGGUCUAUGUUCUCUUGCUGUUGUUAUGUUAGCAUAGUUAGAAGUUUAGAUAUUCACUCACAUUCAACUGGGCAAAAUAAGGAUUUAAAUUGCCUCUAUUGUCGUACAGCAAGACUCAUUAAAUGGGUCACCCAAUGCUACGCCCUUUUACGUCCUGCUAUACCCUGCAGUGCCCUGCUACGCCCUGCUACACCCUGUAAUGCCCUGCAGUGCCCUGCUA